CAUACUGUUUUGUUGGAAAAGAUGUUUGAUGAUUUUAAUCUUCUUGAGUUUAUUGAGACUUGGUUUGUGGCCUAGAAUGUGAUCUACCUUGGAGAAUGUUCAAUGUGCACUGAGAAGACUGUGAAUUCUGUUGCUUUUUGAUGGAAUGUUCUGUGUAU
Long non-coding RNA from Mustela erminea (ermine), 158 nucleotides. RefSeq lists it as uncharacterized. The transcript has 3 exons. The record is from RefSeq and is a predicted model, not a curated record. NCBI's taxonomy places the organism in Eukaryota, Metazoa, Chordata, Mammalia, Carnivora, Mustelidae.